GCGGCGUGCCUAAUACAUGCAAGUCGAGCGCAGGAAGCUAACCGAUCCCCUUCGGGGGUGACGUUAGUGGAAUGAGCGGCGGACGGGUGAGUAACACGUGGGCAACCUGCCUGUAAGACCGGAAUAACCCCGGGAAACCGGGGCUAAUGCCGGAUAAUCUCUUCUCUCUCAUGAGGAAAGAGUAAAAGAUGGCCUUUGGCUAUCACUUACAGAUGGGCCCGCGGCGCAUUAACUAGUUGGUGGGGUAACGGCUCACCAAGGCGACGAUGCGUAGCCGACCUGAGAGGGUGAUCGGCCACACUGGGACUGAGACACGGCCCAGACUCCUACGGGAGGCAGCAGUAGGGAAUCUUCCGCAAUGGACGAAAGUCUGACGGAGCAACGCCGCGUGAACUAUGAAGGUUUUCGGAUCGUAAAGUUCUGUUGUGAGGGAAGAACAAGUACCGUGCGAAUAGAGCGGUACCUUGACGGUACCUCACGAGAAAGCCCCGGCUAACUACGUGCCAGCAGCCGCGGUAAUACGUAGGGGGCAAGCGUUGUCCGGAAUUAUUGGGCGUAAAGCGCGCGCAGGCGGUUCCUUAAGUCUGAUGUGAAAGCCCACGGCUCAACCGUGGAGGGUCAUUGGAAACUGGGGAACUUGAGGACAGAAGAGGAGAGUGGAAUUCCACGUGUAGCGGUGAAAUGCGUAGAUAUGUGGAGGAACACCAGUGGCUAAGGCGACUCUCUGGUCUGUUUCUGACGCUGAGGUGCGAAAGCGUGGGUAGCAAACAGGGGUUAGAUACCUCUGGUAGUCCACGCCGUAAACG
RNAcentral lists this ribosomal RNA (806 nucleotides) under uncultured soil bacterium. RNAcentral's name for it is "bacterial SSU rRNA". It matches the Rfam family "Bacterial small subunit ribosomal RNA", at positions 39 to 808 of the family's 1533-position model. The record is from RNAcentral.